This 695-nucleotide ribosomal RNA is filed under the name uncultured Cantharellales. Its description in RNAcentral is "eukaryotic LSU rRNA". It matches the Rfam family "Eukaryotic large subunit ribosomal RNA", at positions 1 to 654 of the family's 3401-position model. Lineage: Eukaryota; Fungi; Basidiomycota; Agaricomycetes; Cantharellales. The record is from RNAcentral.
UGUCUCCCAGGACAAUUGCCUUAGUGUUCUGGCCUCGGAUCAGGUGGGACUACCCGCUGAACUUAAGCAUAUCAAUAAGCGGAGGAAAAGGAACUAACAAGGAUUCCCCCUAGUAACUGCGAGUGAAGUGGGAUAAGCUCAAAUUUAAAAUCUGGCAGUCUUUGAGUGCCCGAGUUGUAAUCUAGAGAAGUGUUCUUCUGUGCUGGACUGCAUUCAAGUUCCCUGGAUAUGGGACAUCAUAGAGGGUGAGAAUCCCGUCUUUAAUGCAGACUCCCAGUGCUCUGUGAUGCACUCUCAACGAGUCGAGUUGUUUGGGAUUGCAGCUCAAAGUGGGAGGUAAAUUCCUUCUAAAGCUAAAUAUUGGCGAGAGACCGAUAGCGAACAAGUACCGUGAGGGAAAGAUGAAAAGCACUUUGGAAAGAGAGUUAAACAGUACGUGAAAUUGUUAAAAGGGAAACAAUUGAAGUCAGUUGCAUCUACUUGGACUCAGCCUUACCUUACCUUGGUUUGGUUUGGUGCAUUUCCUUGUGGAUGGGCCAGUGUCCAUGUUGAUGACUGGAAAAGGGGCUAGGGAAUGUGGCUCUCUUUUGGGGGAGUGUUUUAUAGCCUUGGCUCAUAUACAGUGAUUGAUAUGGAGUGGUACAGCAUGCUUCGGUGGUGCUUGUGCUGGCAUAAUGGCUUUAAAUGACCCGUCU